ACAAAGCCUUCGGGACUUAGCCCGGACAUCAUUCAAAUAACCAUGCACAUUUAACAAUAAAUCAUGGCACAUUCGUAUUUCGUUUUCGUUAGCAAAACUCAAACACAAGACACUUAUCAUUCUUGCAAUUUCGGCUCAAUAGCCACACACAAGGAGCAUGAUUUUGAUUUGCUUAAAACAUGAUCUAAUCAAAUCUUAAUUUAAGCUCUUUUACUCAAGAACUUACCUCGGAUGUUGUCGAACGAUUCCGAUAGCUAUUCGACCACUUUUUC
RNAcentral lists this long non-coding RNA (272 nucleotides) under Gossypium barbadense (sea-island cotton). RNAcentral describes it as "long non-coding RNA (GBAR_LNC000851)". The record is from RNAcentral. Lineage: Eukaryota; Viridiplantae; Streptophyta; Magnoliopsida; Malvales; Malvaceae.